CAGUGUUACAGCUCUUUUAGAAUUUGUCUAGUAGGUUUUCCAGUCCUUGCCGGAAAGGACCAGA
Lemur catta (Ring-tailed lemur) is the source of this 64-nucleotide small nuclear RNA. RefSeq annotates it as U7 small nuclear RNA. The transcript has a single exon. NCBI's taxonomy places the organism in Eukaryota, Metazoa, Chordata, Mammalia, Primates, Lemuridae. The record is from RefSeq and is a predicted model, not a curated record.